GACGAACGCUGGCGGCGUGCUUAACACAUGCAAGUCGAACGGAAAGGCCCUGCUUUUGUGCGGUGCUCGAGUGGCGAACGGGUGAGUAACACGUGAGUAACCUGCCCUUGUCUUUGGGAUAACUUCAGGAAACUGGGGCUAAUAUCGGAUAGGAGAUCCUGCUGCAUGGUGGGGGUUGGAAAGUUUCGGCGGUUGGGGAUGGACUCGCGGCUUACCAGCUUGUUGGUGGGGUAGUGGAUUACCAAGGCUUUGACGGAUAGGCGGCCUGGGAGGGUGGCCGGCGUCCAUGGGCCUGAGGUACGGCCCAGACUGCAACGUGAGGCAACAGUGGGGAAUAUUGCACAAUGGGCGCAAGCCUGAUGCGGCAGCGCCGCGUGCGGGAUGACGGCCUUCUGGUUGUAAACCGCUUUCGCCUGUGACGAAGCGGUAGUGACGGUACUGGGUAAAGAAGCACCGGCUAACUACGUG
RNAcentral lists this ribosomal RNA (468 nucleotides) under uncultured bacterium. RNAcentral describes it as "partial 16S ribosomal RNA". It matches the Rfam family "Bacterial small subunit ribosomal RNA", at positions 28 to 507 of the family's 1533-position model. The record is from RNAcentral.